Molecule: ribosomal RNA, 216 nt
Filed under: Glomeromycotina sp.
Lineage: Eukaryota; Fungi; Glomeromycota
Description: partial small subunit ribosomal RNA
Rfam family: Eukaryotic small subunit ribosomal RNA (bases 40-216)
Source: RNAcentral
GGGUCAGUAGGUUGGUCGUGCCACCGGUACGUACUGGUCUCACUGAUUCCUCCUUCCUGAAGAACCGUAAUGCCAUUAAUUUGGUGUUGCGGGGAAACAGGACUGUUACUUUGAAAAAAUUAGAGUGUUUAAAGCAAGCUAACGCUUGAAUACAUUAGCUUGGAAUAAUGAAAUAGGACGAUCGAUCCUAUUUUGUUGGUUUCUAGGAUUGACGUA